Long non-coding RNA from Monodelphis domestica (gray short-tailed opossum), 2006 nucleotides. RefSeq lists it as uncharacterized. The record is from RefSeq and is a predicted model, not a curated record. Lineage: Eukaryota; Metazoa; Chordata; Mammalia; Didelphimorphia; Didelphidae.
CAUAAAUAAAUCAUGCUUUUUCUGCCCUUGUCUGUCCUGGUUUUCUUGCCUCCUUGCUAGCCAUCACUCUAUCCCAAGGUCUGUGAAAACAAACCCGUAUAUCAAUUAUCUAUAACCCUCCCCUUACCUCUUCAUCUUUUAUUCUCUGCCUUUUUAUAGCAAACAAAUUUAGCCAUCAUUCAGACAUUUUGCCUCCCAGCAUUCAAAUAAAUCAGUGAUAAUUGGUUUCUCUUUCCUUUAAUUUGGAAUUGCAAUAGUUUAUUUGGUUUGUUUAGAGACAAAUAGAGGUGGCCCCCAUCAAGUGACAGAAAAAAGCAGGCCUUCACUGACCUUUCCUAUCACUCCCCAGGUUUGUUUGCAAGGACACAGACAUACAAGUGGGCACAUAUAAUAUGAGUUCCGACAUCAUAUAAAAGGAUAUUUAGCCAAGAAACACGGCAUGUUAGUUGUUGAAACCUUCUUUGCAUUCCCUGAAACAAAUGACAUUAUUGCAAGUAUUUUCCUUCCUAAGCAGUAAAUAAAAAGUCUUUUAUGUUGACAAUGAUAAUAUUAUAUUUUUAAAUCUAUUUGCAUUUUGGUAUUCUGUGGAUUUUAAUGCUUCCUAUAAAUCUCAUGGCUGAGACAUAUUAAGCUUCACUCAGUGAGAAACAGCCUAUUUUAUCACAGGCUUGGACAGCUACUGCAAUCUUGUGCUACAUUUUACCUGUGGGAUUUUUAAGCAGCCAUCAGUGGUAAACAAAUUCUCCAAGAGAAAUGAUUUCUUUUUCUGCUUUUGUAUGUGUGCAUUUUGGCAUGUGGAUAGGAAAGAACCCAAGAAGAUGUUCAUUUUGCCGCAUGAUCAGAAUGGAUUUCCAGGAAGGUCACUGUUCCUGCACAAGCCCUUCAGAUGUGUUUGAUAUGUCUCCAUUGUCACCAAGUCAUAACAAAGAAAGCUGACUUCAAUGCUUGACUCACAAGAUAAUGCUGAUUUCUCAAAAAGCAGUAAUGUCACCAUCUGAACAAACCUAUUAAAUCAAAAGGGUGGCUUGGAGUUGUACAUAAUAAGAUUCAAAAGAAGAUUCGAGUCAUAGAAUAGCCUGAUAGAGUGGGAGAUACCUGGAAGGCAGUGAGGUGGAUUGAGUGGGAACUGAUGGAGCUUCCGCGGGGACUUACAGGUUGGGAACUCUACCAUACUGAUCUAGAGAGUAAUAUUGCUCUCAAAAGUAGAAUUUACAAUAACCCAGGCUUUUAUAUACACUCUCAUGCUUUCCAUUAAGUCUGAUUCCUAUAACAGCCCUCGAACUGUCUAGGAUUCUCUGGUUGUAAGACAAGAAAUAUAAACUAACUGGAAUUCUCAUGAUCUUAAGUUCCACAUGACUAUACCUCCAAUCUUUGCUUUUGACCUCAAUGUCUGCUUUGUCCUCAGACACUCUGGGCCCUUGGAAGCUCUCUCAGAAGAAGCUGGUGGCUCUUCUGGAGAUUCAGCUGCCCAAUGGAACAUAUUUUUUUUCUGGGAAUUCAUGAUCGCACACUAUUACAACACAAUGAACACCUCCUUCUCCCCCCACCCCUCACUUUCAACAACCUCUCUGUCCUUUAGCAAAAGAGAACGUUUGAAUCUAUUUACACUAAAUACAGAUAGCCCAACUUGAUGGUUUUUGUAUUUUGGGAAGCAGAGAACACUAUACCACCAGCCAGUCCUAGCAGGAAACCUCCCCACUGAAGGUCACGAGGAGCUGACUUCUCGUAGGUUCUGCUCUUUUGACAAAGUUUAGCAAACACAUUAUCUUGGACAAAAUAUGUGAUGUAAUGUUUAUGAAAGAUCAUCAUGUCCCCUUUUGCAGGUCUGUGAGGGAUAUGAAUGUUACCAAAACACUGUGCUAGGACUGAAAUCCUCCACCCUUGACAUAACCCUAUCUUUUGUAGUGCCUCCUGAUGUGGUUUCUGGAAGUCAAGUAAGGGUGUGAACAGAUAAUCCAGAGGCCACCAAAUCCAGGAGGAAAAUAAAGCCAAUAUUUCACAUAUGA